UAGGGAAUAUUGGUCAAUGGCCGAGAGGCUGAACCAGCCAAGUCGCGUGAAGGACGAAGGAUCUAUGGUUUGUAAACUUCUUUAUAGGGAGUAAAGAUGCAGCACGUGUGCUGUUUUGUAUGUACCUAUGAAUAAGCAUCGGCUAACUCCGUGCCAGCAGCCGCGGUAAUACGGAGGAUGCGAGCGUUAUCCGGAUUUAUUGGGUUUAAAGGGUGCGUAGGUGGCAGCUUAAGUCAGCGGUGAAAGUUUGUGGCUCAACCAUAAAGUUGCCGUUGAAACUGGGUAGCUUGAGUAUGUUUGAGGUAGGCGGAAUGUGUGGUGUAGCGGUGAAAUGCAUAGAUAUCACGCAGAACUCCAAUUGCGAAGGCAGCUUACUAAACCAUAACUGACACUGAAGCACGAAAGCGUGGGGAUCAAACAGGAUUAGAUACC
Molecule: ribosomal RNA, 432 nt
Filed under: uncultured bacterium
Lineage: Bacteria
Description: bacterial SSU rRNA
Rfam family: Bacterial small subunit ribosomal RNA
Source: RNAcentral